Molecule: long non-coding RNA, 607 nt
Filed under: Trifolium pratense (red clover)
Lineage: Eukaryota; Viridiplantae; Streptophyta; Magnoliopsida; Fabales; Fabaceae
Description: long non-coding RNA (TPRA_LNC002349)
Source: RNAcentral
AAUAAACAAAACAUAGUAUUUUUGCAACAUAAAGUGAUCAAUACAUUUCUAUUUGUUGCAAGCCUAGGAUAAAAAAUAUGGCUAAAACUAUUAAGUUUGUUUAUUUAAUGAUCCUCUUUAUUUGUUUUUUUCUUGUUGUAAUUGAUGUUAAUGGUAAGCACUUUUUUUUAUUCUUUUGAACUUUCUUGUUAUCUUAUACAAAAUAAUUCAUCAUUUUUUGCUAAUAUUGAUUUCUUAAAUUUUAUAUAUAUUACAGCACAACGGAGGCCAAGGUGCAAGGAGAAUUCUGAUUGUUCUGAGUUUCCUUGUGUACUUCCUAUGACUCCAAAAUGUGUCGCAUUUAAAUGUAGAUGUCGUCUCGAUUAAAAGUAAACUUGAUUAUAAAAGAUUGAUCCAUAUUGUCAGGGGCGGAGCCAGGAAUUUAAACUUGGGGGGACCAAGUCCAACAAGUAUAAUUCAGUAGAGAAAUAUAUUAUGUCAAAAGACAAAAAACACUUAAAAAAAAUUUAAAAACACUUAAAAAUAAAUUCAUUUUGAUACACUUUGGUACUUCAGAAUUUAGUUGGAUUUGAUAUUAUAGAUUAAAUUCAAUGUCAUGCCAUAUUUU